CCCUUAGAUGUCCUGGGCCGCACGCGUGCUACACUGACGCCUACAGCGAGUACUUCCCAGCCCCGAGAGGUGGCUGGUAAUCAGCAAUAGGCGUCGGGAUGGGGAUAGAUCUUUGGAAUUAUGGAUCUUGAACGAGGAAUGCCUAGUAAGCGCAGGUCAUUAGCCUGCGCUGAUUAAGUCCCUGCCCUUUGUACACACCGCCCGUCGCUCCUACCGAUUUCGAGUGGUCCGGUGAAUCUUUCGGACUGCGCGCGGCCUCGUGCCGUGUCGCGGAAAGUCAGGUAAACCUUAUCACUUAGAGGAAGGAGAAGUCGUAACA
Molecule: ribosomal RNA, 319 nt
Filed under: uncultured eukaryote
Lineage: Eukaryota
Description: partial 18S ribosomal RNA
Rfam family: Eukaryotic small subunit ribosomal RNA
Source: RNAcentral